This 54-nucleotide transfer RNA is filed under the name Strigamia maritima. RNAcentral's name for it is "tRNA-Ile". Lineage: Eukaryota; Metazoa; Arthropoda; Chilopoda; Geophilomorpha; Linotaeniidae. The record is from RNAcentral.
AAGGAGAUAAGCUAUAAUUAAACUAGCAACCUUCAAAGUUGCAAUAACCAUUUA